This 777-nucleotide long non-coding RNA is filed under the name Homo sapiens (human). RNAcentral's name for it is "HSALNT0019201". The record is from RNAcentral. Lineage: Eukaryota; Metazoa; Chordata; Mammalia; Primates; Hominidae.
AUUUUGCCUGAGGAACUGCUUUUGGGAAAAGGGUUGGCUUGCUUUUAAGUUUGGGAUAGCACCCUGUUUGAAGGCCAAGGAAGAGACCUGGAGCCAGCAAACAAAACAUAUGGUCUAUUGAAAGGACUUACAGAGAAUUACAAGUGGAAUAAAAGGCAGGCUGUUUUCAGUCCCUGAUGAGUAAAUGUAGCAUUGAGAGAUGUGGUUGGCUGAGGAUAGAAUAUCUGGUACAUCAGUGUGAGCUGGUUGACAUGAGAAGGACUUGCUGUUUGAAUGAAAAACCUCAAAGCUGAAGCUGAGUUUAUCAACUGCCCAGAAAGAAGGAGGAGGAUACUUACAGAAAUCUAAUGAUUUUGAGACAUGCACUACCUCAAAAAUUUUAUUUUACGCACUAUUUGGUUGAUGUGUUGUGUGAAGAUCUUUCAUAGCAUCUAAUCAGGUAUAAUUCCUGAAUGACACUGAGUUUUAUAAUUUUUCUCCCACCCUAUUCUCACUAUAUAUGAAAUCCUUGAUUCUCCAUACUCCACUUGUUUUUAAUAUCAAUACACAUUUUUCUCCUAAUGUAUCACUCUAAUUGGCAAUAGCCACAUGACCUAGACUAGAAUAUUACUUAAAAUAUUUUGACUGUUAUAAUUAAAAGGUAAUUAUUUUUAUAAUUUGUGACUGCAAGUCAAUUUCACAGAGCAUGUACCAUGCCUUGAGAUUGGGGAAUAAUACAUUUUUGAAAAUUUAAGAAAAACAUCUAAUUUUGUUAUUAAAUAAAGAAUUACAUUCAAC